Molecule: RNA transcript, 2593 nt
Organism: Cercocebus atys (sooty mangabey)
Lineage: Eukaryota; Metazoa; Chordata; Mammalia; Primates; Cercopithecidae
Exons: 14
Source: RefSeq, a predicted model, not a curated record
GCCUGUCGCACCGCCCGCUGGGGGCGCCCUCGGGGGGCGCCUGACCGCCCGGCUGCGCUGGGCUCUGGACCUGUGGCGCGCGAGGCGCGGCCGGACCUGGACCACGCUCCUGUUAAGUGAGCAGCCCGAGCGCAGGCGACGCCGGGACGCGGAACUUUGAGCUGCUUUUGCCGCAGUGUUGGCACUGGAGCCAUAUAACACACCUCUUUGAAAAUGACCAUCAUUUUUCUCACCUCUCAACAUUGGAAAGGGAGAUGGCUUUUUACACUGAAAUGGGACUGUAUUAUUCCUAUUUCAAGACUAUUGUGGAAGCACCCUCAUUUUUGAAUGGAGUAUGGGUGAUUAUGAAUGAUAAACUGACUGAAUAAUCCCUUGUUAUUAGUACAUUAAAAAGGUUCAAUCUUUACCCUGAGGUAAUAUUGGCCAGCUGGUACUGGAUUUAUACCAAAAUAAUGGACUUGAUUGGUAUUCAAACCAAGAUAUGUUGGACGGUUACCAGAGGAAAAGGACUCAGUCCUACUGAAAGCCGCAAAGUGUACCUGUGUAAUGUGGACACCACCUCUCCCUGAAAGCUUCUCAUAUGCAUUUCUUGUUCUUCAAAUGUUGCUUGUGACUCAUAUUCUCAGGGCUACAAAACUUUAUAGAGGAAGUGUGAUUGCACUCUGCAUUUCCAAUGUAUUUUUCAUGCUUCCUUGGCAGUUUGCUCAAUUUGUGCUUCUUACUCAGAUUGCAUCAUUAUUUGCAGUAUAUGUUGUUGGGUACAUUGAUAUAUGUAAAUUACGGAAGGUCAUUUAUAUACACAUGAUUUCUCUUGCAUUUUGUUUUGUUUCGAUGUUUGGGAACUCAAUGUUGUUAUUAUCCUUCUUUGGUAAUUAUUUGGGGUAAUCUGGCAAUGAAACCACAUUUCCUGAAAAUAAAUAUAUCUGAACUUAGUUUAUGGCCUAUGUCUAUGGAAUAUGAAGCAUCAAAGAUAUUUUUGUUUUCUUUUUUUUUAGGUUAUUCAAGGAUGUUUUUGGUUAUUUGGAACUGUCAUACUUAAAUAUUUGACAUCUAAAAUUUUUGGUAUUGCAGAUGACAGUCUUGCUGUGUUGCCCAAGCUGGCUUUGAACUCCUGACCUCAAGCAACCCUCUUGCCUUGGAGGCCUUUUGAAUAGCUGGGACUACAGGCUUACACCACUUUGCCCAGCUCGAUCUAAAUUUGAGUUCUACUUCGGCUCAAGUUUUUCCUGCAAAAAUUGGGAAGACUAUCUACUAAUAAGAGUAACUAAAUAUCUAUUAUGCAUUUGAAGUUGUUAGCACAUCUCCUGGCACAUAGUGUAGUAAUUGUUCAAUAUAUGUUAGUAAUCACUUAUUAUUGGAUGAGUGAAUGAAACAAAAAGAUUAAUUUUCACUGAUGGUUAGAAGAUGGAGCAUUAUCGGUAAGGAAUUUGAUCUGCAUAACUACUCUCAUUAUUGGCAUGAGGUAUUACAAGAGGUUCACAGAGGGGGGUACAGAAAGAACAAACUGUUCUUUCAGAAGAAACUGAGAACUGUUAUUUUCUUGAGUGAGCCCAGCUUUGCUUGUGCUCACAUUUGAUUUUCCCUGUGCACUCCAGCACCAUAGUGGUUCCUGCCUCUUUCUUAAGGGGUUAUAUAAUUAUGCAGAUCAACAUUGUGAGUCUUUUUCCCCUUGGACAGUACUUUCUGGAACUGCUAGAUUUCCAGAUGAGAGCUGUUUAUUCUGGAUUAGACUUAAUUUGGUCAGCUGAAUUCUCUUGGGUAUGAAGAGUUUUUCUUACCCUUGGCCUACUUUUUGUGAUUCUAAAUCUCCUUUUACAGUUUCAGCAAGUAUUCUGGAAAACAGAAAUAGCUGAAAGCACUGCUUUCUUUUGCCUUCUUAGUUCCUUUGCUGUUUAAUGAUCUCAGUAUGUCAGUUACAUUGCCUUCUCUGAAAGCCAAAACAAUAGAGCCCUGCAUUACAAAGGAACGCUUUGUUAUUGUCACAGUUUUCAUCGAGUGCCUACUGCGUGCCAGGCUCCUCACAGCUUGUUUCAAAACCAGAUGGUUACCCCAUGGCGUUCAGGAAGGUGAUGGAGAUAUAUUCAGGGCCCAGGGGGAAAGAAAAAGGCACUGGUCUAGCUGAGAUGGCCCAGGAAGCUCUGCGCUGCUUUUACCCACACACAGUGUCUUCUUUACCUUUUAUUGCACUUGGAUUCUAAGCUCCUGCCCUCCCAAAGAGUAACAACUUAAAAGCAGAAGAAAAUCACUGUAGUAAAUCACCCUAAUAAAUCAGCUCAUUUCCCAUGUUCUCACAGUUCUUGUGGAAGAAAUGGAGAAAAAAUACAGGAAGAAGAGAAGAAGAAGUGAAGACGGAAGCGAGUUCGACUCCUAUUCUCCCAGGGACCGCCCACCCCCACCUGCUGGACAGCAAGGUCCAUGGGAUCAGGAACUGCACGUGUCAGGGACUCUGUGUGGCACUGUAUGGCAAAUCUCCAAGAUCAGGAAGCACCGCUUUACAUAGUCCUCAUGGAUUCCAAAGCAUGAGCUGGGCUGCUUUUGAAGGGUGAGAAAUGGGAGUUGACCCCGAUCAUAGAAACCAUACCAGCUGAAAGAC